UCGCCACGACCACGUGAUUUUAAUCCGGAAAAUUGGCCAUAUUGAAGCUGGGGGGGGAAGAGCCAACAAAUGAAUCGAUUUUUUUAACAAAACAAAGAAAAAUAACAGUAACAAGGAUUAAGGAAUAAUCUUUAAAAAUUUGCAAUUGAAACUUGAAAAAUAACCAAAAUCUACCGUAAUUAGUUGUGAAGAAAAGAUACACAUAACUGAAAAUGGAUACAUUACCUAUCUUACAUGUGUGGAAUUGCCUAGAACGCCGAAAUACUCAGCCUUCAGGAGCG
Diuraphis noxia (Russian wheat aphid) is the source of this 281-nucleotide long non-coding RNA. RefSeq lists it as uncharacterized. Lineage: Eukaryota; Metazoa; Arthropoda; Insecta; Hemiptera; Aphididae. The record is from RefSeq and is a predicted model, not a curated record.